AGAUUUAGUAUAUUUUUUUUAGUAUUUCUUAUUGUCUGUAAGUAGGUUUUGUCUU
This 55-nucleotide transfer RNA is filed under the name Dirofilaria immitis (dog heartworm nematode). RNAcentral describes it as "transfer RNA-Asp". The record is from RNAcentral. Lineage: Eukaryota; Metazoa; Nematoda; Chromadorea; Rhabditida; Onchocercidae.